This 466-nucleotide ribosomal RNA is filed under the name uncultured bacterium. Its description in RNAcentral is "partial 16S ribosomal RNA". It matches the Rfam family "Bacterial small subunit ribosomal RNA", at positions 339 to 795 of the family's 1533-position model. The record is from RNAcentral.
CUACGGGAGGCUGCAGUGGGGAAUAUUGGACAAUGGGGGAAACCCUGAUCCAGCAAUGCCGCGUGUGUGAAGAAGGCCUGCGGGUUGUAAAGCACUUUCGGUUGGGAGGACUGCUUCUAGCACUAAUAUUGUUGGAAGUUGACGUUACCUUCAGAAGAAGCACCGGCUAACUCCGUGCCAGCAGCCGCGGGUAAUACGGAGGGUGCAAGCGUUAAUCGGAAUUACUGGGCGUAAAGCGCGCGUAGGCGGCUAGAUCAGUCGGGUGUGAAAGCCCCGGGCUUAACCUGGGAACUGCAUCCGAUACUGUCUAGCUUGAGUACAGGGGAGGAGAGUGGAAUUCCACAUGUAGCGGUGAAAUGCGUAGAUAUGUGGAGGAACACCAAUGGCGAAGGCAGCUCUCUGGCCUGAUACUGACGCUGAGGUGCGAAAGCGUGGGGAGCAAACAGGAUUAGAUACCCCCGUAGUC